AACGAACGCUGGCGGCAUGCCUAACACAUGCAAGUCGAACGCUUGGGCUUCGGCCCGAGAGUGGCGCACGGGUGAGUAACGCGUGGGAACCUGCCCUGGAGUGGGGGAUAACCGAGGGAAACCUCGGCUAAUACCGCAUACGUCCUUUGGGAGCGAUCCUGGGGGAGAAAGAUUUAUCGCUCGAGGAGGGGCCCGCGUCGGAUUAGCUAGUUGGUGGGGUAACGGCCCACCAAGGCGAUGAUCCGAGCUGGUCUGAGAGGAUGAUCAGCCACACUGGGACUGAGACACGGCCCAGACUCCUACGGGAGGCAGCAGUGGGGAAUAUUGGACAAUGGGCGCAAGCCUGAUCCAGCAAUGCCGCGUGAGUGAUGAAGGCCUUAGGGUUUGGUAAAGACUCUUUCGUCACGCGACGAUGAUGACGGUAGCGUGAGAAGAAGCCCGGCUAACUUCGUG
This 453-nucleotide ribosomal RNA is filed under the name uncultured bacterium. RNAcentral describes it as "bacterial SSU rRNA". It matches the Rfam family "Bacterial small subunit ribosomal RNA", at positions 29 to 507 of the family's 1533-position model. The record is from RNAcentral.